Molecule: long non-coding RNA, 1321 nt
Organism: Octopus sinensis (East Asian common octopus)
Lineage: Eukaryota; Metazoa; Mollusca; Cephalopoda; Octopoda; Octopodidae
Exons: 2
Source: RefSeq, a predicted model, not a curated record
AUAUAUAUAUGUAUGUAUGUAUGUAUAUUUGUGUGUGUGUGUGUAUAUAUGCAUAUAUCUGCUUACCAGUUUGAACACAUGAUGACAGGAUCAUUUUUUAAUCAACUUUAUACUCAGUUCCCUUGUACUUUCUACAGACGCAGCUAAUAACGGAAAGGAAUUGUCUGUGUUCUUGAUGUCCUUAAAGCUAAGUGUUAUGGAAGGACUGACCAAGUUUGGGGCAUCAUCGGAGUGCAUUUCACCUUCUUACAAACACUCCCUUCUUCACUCAACAGACUUGUUCCGACAUGGUUGUUUCAACUAAAUCUUCGAGUAUCUAUCUUCCAUCGAUUUCCGUUCACCUGUAAGUUAUUUCUCCAAGACAAACACAACCACCCUUGCUCUGAUGAUGGCUCAUCAAAGACACAGAAACCUGUGACUCGCUUUCCCUCCAUUACAUUUAUCAUAGGAAACAUUAUAUGUAUAUAAAUUCUUCCUUCUCGUUGACAUAGCAGUUUUUGGUAGAAAGUGAAAGAAUUAUCUUUCCAUCAUGUGUUUAAACUGAAGAGAUAUACACACUAGCUACACUGAUACAUACACACACACACAUAUAUAUAUUCACUCACAUACACACACACACAUACUUACACACACAAAUAUGCAUAUAUAUAUAAUGGUUUCUUCAGUUUUUCUUGUUUUUUUGUUUACUUUUCUUUUAUUUCUUUAUUUCUUUUUGUUGUUAAUGUUGUUUUGUGUUUUGUUAAAUAUUUUGUAAUUAAUUUCUAGUACAGUACAAAAGAGGCAUUAACAGUACACUGCAGUAUACAUAGAGGUAUUGACAGUUUAGUAUCAUAGAGGUGUGACACCAAAUGUCUUUGAAAGUACAGUAGAUAGUUUUGACAGUACAGGAGACUACACUGACAGAACUAUACAAUAAAGUUAUUGACAGUGCAAUGCAGCAGUUAUUCAUGGCCUGUUGAGCUAUUGGCAGACUUUUACAGCAGAAGUAGUGAAAAUAUAUAGUAGAGGGAGUUGUUGACAACAGAGUUAUACAGUUAGAGUCAUUGACAUUACAAUGGAUUUGUUGACAAUUGACUGUACAGCAGAGUUAUUGACGGUAUAGUAGGGUUAUUGACAGUAUAGUAAAGCUAUUGACAAUAGUGCAGAGUUGGUUUGACAGUGCAGUAUAAUCAUGGUCAGUACAGUACAGUACAGUAUGGAAUGUUCUAAAACUUAUAUUUGUAGAUAUUCUCAGAAUCAAAAAAAAAAAAAAAUUGCUUGUUUGUUUUUUAAUUCCAAAUAAAAUGGAAACAUUUACAAUAAAAACUAUUAUCAUUAUUAU